Molecule: transfer RNA, 61 nt
Filed under: Grandidierella japonica
Lineage: Eukaryota; Metazoa; Arthropoda; Malacostraca; Amphipoda; Corophiidae
Description: tRNA-Asp
Source: RNAcentral
AAAAACUUAGUUAAAAAAUAAUAUUAGCUUGUCAAGCUAAAGUUACCAAGAGUAGUUUUUA